Molecule: long non-coding RNA, 1036 nt
Filed under: Marmota monax (woodchuck)
Lineage: Eukaryota; Metazoa; Chordata; Mammalia; Rodentia; Sciuridae
Source: RNAcentral
CCUUCUUCUGUCUUAUCAGUAAAUCACUAUGGGGUCACAUCCAUCCUUUCAUUCUCAGACCCUUAGUUUUCAUUUCUAGACUAUACACCUCAUAAGAUGAAGGUCAAGUUCAUUGCAGAUAAGAUCGUGCCAGAUUACAUGCUGUAAGCUAUGUAAACAAAAAAUUCCUAUGUCCAAGUACAGCAUGUCCCUGCAAUAAACAGUAGGCUUCCUGAAAUUAUGAGCCUUCUUCCUCCUAUUGUACCAGCCUGCUUGUAACUACUAUCAAAAGAGAAACUAACAGAGGGUUCAAGGAAUAGAGUGUCCCUGCCUCGGACCAUAAAUUCCAGCAGAUAACAUCAAUAAAUAGGCAAUUCUGCCUUCCCAUCCCACAGAUUACUGGGGUUAGGAUAGGCCCACUUCCAGACUUUGUUCACAGAAUUUGUGAUCAGUGGUCAGGGUGUUCUGCCCUACUCACACUUGGUCACCAACAGAACUCAGCAACUGCCCAGGCACUUCACAUUCAGCCUCCAGAGGACAGCAGGCCCUGCUCAGCCCACCUUGUGAGCAAAUGUACUCUAUUUUCCCUACUUGAGAUUCAACUAAUGUCAUAAGACUCACCUUUUCAAAGCAUGCAGAUCAGUAGGUCUCAGCCUGUUCACAAGGUGUGUAGCCUUCAAGAAUGUCUAACUGCUGAACAUUUCAUCACCCAGAAAAAACAUUCCUCCUGUGAGCAGUCACUCCCCAGUCCUCCCUGUCUCAGCUGCCAGCAGGUGCCAGUCUGCUUUCUGCCUCUGCCUUUGCAGAUUCUGGGAACUUUGUGUGAGCAGCAUCCUAGGACAUUCACCCUUUGUUCCUUGUUCUCUUACUUCAGUGCAUGUUUUCUGGGAUUCUCCACAUUGUGCCUGUCUUUGUGCAUAUUCCAGCCUCUGAUGGGUUGUGUCUUGACAAAUGUACUUUAUUUAACAUAACGUUGGUAGUGUUCUGAGCCUACAUAAACAAGCUCAGAACCCUUGUAUCAGCUAACACAAAGCCUGCUUUGUAAUAAAGUGUGGAG